Molecule: ribosomal RNA, 435 nt
Filed under: uncultured bacterium
Lineage: Bacteria
Description: bacterial SSU rRNA
Rfam family: Bacterial small subunit ribosomal RNA
Source: RNAcentral
AGCGAACGCUGGCGGCAGGCUUAACACAUGCAAGUCGAGCGGGCCCUUCGGGGUCAGCGGCGGACGGGUGAGUAACGCGUGGGAACGUGCCUUCUGGUCUGGAAUAACCCUGGGAAACUAGGGCUAAUACCGGAUACGCCCUUUUGGGGAAGGGUUUACUGCCGGAAGAUCGGCCCGCGUCUGAUUAGCUAGUUGGUGGGGUAACGGCCUACCAAGGCGACGAUCAGUAGCUGGUCUGAGAGGAUGAUCAGCCACACUGGGACUGAGACACGGCCCAGACUCCUACGGGAGGCGAGCAGUGGGGAAUAUUGGACAAUGGGCGCAAGCCUGAUCCAGCCAUGCCGCGUGAGUGAUGAAGGCCUUAGGGUUGUAAAGCUCUUUUAUCCGGGACGAUAAUAGACGGUACCGGAGGAAUAAGCCCCGGCUAACUUCGUG